UACGGGGGGGUGCGAGCGUUGUCCGGAAUCACUGGGCGUAAAGGGCGCGUAGGUGGUCUGAUAAGGGUGUGGUGAAAGUCCGGGGCUCAACCCCGGAUCUGCCGUGCCGACUGUCAGACUCGAGGACUGUAGAGGCAGGCGGAAUUCCGGGUGUAGCGGUGGAAUGCGUAGAGAUCCGGAGGAAGACCGGUGGCGAAGGCGGCUGCUGGGCAGUUCUGACACUGAGGCGCGACAGCGUGGGGAGCAAACAGGAUUAGAAU
Molecule: ribosomal RNA, 260 nt
Filed under: uncultured bacterium
Lineage: Bacteria
Description: partial 16S ribosomal RNA
Rfam family: Bacterial small subunit ribosomal RNA
Source: RNAcentral